Non-coding RNA from Monodelphis domestica (gray short-tailed opossum), 9390 nucleotides. Lineage: Eukaryota; Metazoa; Chordata; Mammalia; Didelphimorphia; Didelphidae. The record is from RefSeq and is a predicted model, not a curated record.
UAGCUCCUGCCAUUCAUUGUGGGUUUUUCUUCAGUAGCACAAGCUGCCCCCAUCUCUGGCUCUGAGCUGUGGGUCCCGGCUCCCCGCUUUUCUCCUGUCUCCGAAGGCUUGCCUGGGUAAGAAGGCGCGUCAAGUGCGAAGCGUCGAGGGCGCCGCCCAUUUUUCUCAAGCUCCGGUUCCUUGGAGCCCGAAAGAGAGGAAGGAGGAAGGAAGCUCCCGCCUGGCAGCCCGGCGGGUGUGCGGGCUUUUCUUCCUUAGCCAUCUGUUUUAGCGGAUGCCAGCCCCCCACCCCCACCCCAUCCCCCGCUGUUUUACAGAGGAAGGAUUCUAGAUUCCUGAUGAAAUGGAGCGUCCAUCCCGGCAGCCUCUUCCCAGGGUGAACUUGUUGGGAAGGGAAGGAAAUAAGCAAUCAUAAAGCCCAACAACCAUGCCAGAUGAGUGUGCACAAAGACACUUGUGCGUGAAGGAGAUUUAAGUGGAAAAUCCGAUGCACAGAGACAGUCCCACUCUCUCGGCGUUGGAAGCCUGGGUCAAGUGGCACGAAAAGUCGUUACACCUGGAGACUUCCUCAGCUGCAUUGGAUGGCCGUGUUGUCCUUUGUGCUCCAACACGCCCUGAGCACUCCACAGUGCUUUGCUGUGUCGCCCUCUCAGCCGUUGAACCUUCUUAUUGGUUUCUUCUGUCUAUUCGGCCGAAGCAGUCUUCACAUGCUGGGUGAGCAAAGCCCUGGUUCACCAGGGGUCGAUGACUCGAUGGCUACCCUCACAAGGUUUAGCUGGCCUGUGGAAGCCGUUGCCCAGGGUGUGGCCGCUGCCGAAUGCUAGCAGCUACAUAGAUUGUUAAACAACAUAUAUUAUAUUAUUAUUUUAAAGGAUACUAUUAUAAUAAAAGAUUAUAGUCAAAGCACUUGAGUUCAAUUACUAGGUCUAUUCCUUACUACACAGGAUCUGUAUGACCCUAGGCAAGUCAUUUAAUUUCUUUAGAUUUCAAUUUCCCUGUCUGUAAAAUGAGGAAGAUAAGAUGAUGUCAUAAGUCUUGUCCUUCUUUAAAUUUAUGAUCCUAGGACCUUUGAGUAGGGGAUUUGUGAUCAAGUAAUCAACAAGCAUUAAUUACCUCAAAAUGCUAGACAUUGUCCUAAAUACAGGAGAUACAAAAUACAAAAGUCAAGCUGUUCCCUACCUUUAGGAAGCUUGUAGUCUCCUGGGGAAGACUCUGUGAUAUAUAUAUAUAUUUGUAUAAACAAAUAUAAUCCAUUUUUCCAGCUAAAUCUAGGAUGUUUUGUGUGUUGUUGCUCAGGCAUGACUUCUAAUUUGGUGGAGAGAAUGCUGACAUGCAACUGUGUGUUUGUGUGACAGGAGGAAUUUGUUCAAGAGCUUUGAAGAGGAGAAAUGUCUUCUGAAGAAGAAUCUAUGAUUUCAAGACUAACUCUAGAUAGGGGGCAGCUGGGUACCUCAGUGGAUUGAUAGCCAGGCCUAAAGAUGGGAGGUCCUGGGUUCAAAUCUGGCCUCAGACAUUUCCCAGCUGUGUGACCCUGGGCAAGUUACUUGACCCUCAUUGCCUAGCCCUUAUCACUCUUCUGCCUUGGAGCCAAUUGGCUCCAAGAUGGAAGGUAAGGGUUUAAAAAAAAAAAGACUAACUCUAGAUAGAUGGGAAGUCAGGACUGUGGCUGGCCUUUCCUUAGCUGCUUUGUUUUGACUUCUCUCACCCAAAUCACAGUUCAAGUGUCCCUGAUAUAUUAAUUUCUACUUGUGGAAGUAAGGCUGAGUGAUGAACCAAGCCAGUGCCAUUAUUGUUACUUACAAGAUAUUGAAAGUUCAAGUGAAACCCCCAUUUUCGGAGAAUAUUUUCCUAAGUAGAAGAGACUUUGGUGUUAAGUAUGACUUAUUGUAAUCCCUUUUGCUUGCAUGUUAAUAACUUUCUUUGAAGCAAAGCCACUUAUAAUAUUAUAAAAUUGCUUGCCAAAAGGGCAAUAGUUUUUUUUUUCUCUUCUAAUUCCCUGAUAAGGACCAAUGUGACAAGCAGAGCUUUGUCACUAUAUAAGCAGGAAUAAUUGUGUCUCAAAUUGCACUGCUGCUAAGUACUCAUCUGGUGACCUUCAUCUGGAUGGUGGUACUUGUAUGAUUAUGGAGAAAGUUGGUAUAGGACCAGAAGACACUCUAUAGUCCCAGAAGAGGGAGACGGAGGGGUUCAUGGGCAACUUUGCUCUCCAGGCAUCUACUAGUCAUUGGAGAUCUGGUUGACUAAUUCUCUUUUGCAAUAAUUGGUAUCCUUCAGGAAAUUUCACCAGCUUACAAGUUGUAUAUUAGAUUUUGCUUUUACCUUGGAGGGAUGCUGGGGCAGUGUUCACUACAUAGUUUUUCAUUUAGAGAGCAUUAGCCACUAAAUGUUGAGGAACAGACAAGAGAACUGAUUCAUCUCUCCAGUUCUUGAAAUUAGUCCCACAAAUCUAGAGUACAGAGGAUUUUGGUUGGAAUUUCAGUUCUUCUACUUCCUAAUUCUUAGGCAGGUCAUUUUAAUGUUUCUAGGCCUUUGUUUCCUCAUUUGUAAAAUGAAGGAUUUUGAACUUGGUGACCUCUAAGAUUGUUUCCAGCUUUAAAUCUAUGAUCUUUUCACUUGUUCAAACUUCAUUUAGUCCUGGUACUAACUCUUGCUUCUGAUAUGACCCCCACAUUUUGUCUCUGACCUCUCAGUGUCUCACAUCUCUAGAAACAGACACUAGCUUUGUGUGUCCAAUCUGAUGUUUCUGGCUCUUCCCUGAUUGGAAAACCUCUGGCCAAUUGCCUUUUCUUCUUGGCUUCAUCCUGAGCCAUUUAUUUUUUUAUUUUUUUUAUAUUUAUUUAAUUUAUUUAAAAUAUAUUUAUUAUUAUAAAAAUAUAUUUUUUAUAUUUAUUUUAAAAGCGGUCUCGUUAGUUUUUCUUUUAAAAGUUUCAUCCAAGAAUGAGUGGGGAGACAAUGGUAUCUGGACUUCUAGUCUUCUAGAUUUCUCUCUUAAGAGACAGGAAACCAGACUUAUCCUUGGGCCUUUGGAGUCAUGCUUGGUCAUUGUAUUGGUUCAAGUUCUUAAGUCUUUCUUACAGUUAUUGUCUUUUGCUCUGUUGUAGUCAAUGUUUAAAUUAUUCUUCUGGUUCUGCCCUCCUCACCCUCUAUCAGCUCAUACAAAUCUUCCCAGAUUUCUCUGCUUCUAAUUGUUUCAUCAUUUCUUACAUGCAAUAAUGUUUCCUUAAUUCAGAUACUAUUAUCAUUUGUUCAACAAAACAUUCCCCCAUUGAAGGGCACUCCCUUAGUUUCCAGUUCUUUGCUACAAUGAAUAUAGUGCGAUGAACAUUUUUAUGUACCCUGUUCUUAAUUCAAAAAGAGACAAAUUACUCUUUCAAAAAUAAAUUAAGUUACUUUUUUUCUUUUGUGGCCCCUAAAUGAUCCCCCCCCCCCCCCAUGGGUCAGCAGUCUUUACUUGAAAACUAUUUCCCCACCCUGAUGUUGAAGAGUGAUUGGGAGACUUUUGAGAAGGCAUGUGACUUGAUUAAAGCAGUAGAACAAUUAAAUGAUUUUACCAUGCCAUUUGGAACUUAUUAGAGAGACAGUAGAGGUGGGAAGGCAAGAGGAAACAGAUUCCAGACAGGGUCAGAGUACACACAAGGACAUUAGAACAUUUUUCUCUUGGCCUAUUGGGUAAUAUGUACUUUUUGCACUUUUGUAAAAGGGGAAAGGAAGCUACAGAGGGCUGAUAUCCUUGGAAAUUCUGCCUAAUGGCUUAGCAUGGUGGGAAUUUGCUUAACCUGCUAUGUGAAGGUUGUAUAGCCUUGGGUUUAAAUAACUGAGGUUAGCACUAGGGAAGAAUUUGAUUUAGAGAACAGAAAGGAGUAAAUCCUUUUAAUAUUUAUCCCAUCUCUUUCUUCUUUUCCAUACUUAACUCUCCUCCCUAUUUUCCAGGCUUUCAUUACUACACUCUAGAAUUUGUUGCAGUAGCCUCCUAAAUGACCUGACUCCAAUCUUCUCUUCCUAUAAUCCAAUCUAGGUUAUUUUACUAAAUCAAUAUCUUUCUUUAAAAUUUAAUUUAAAGUUUUAAAAAAACAAACCCUUAUCUUUAUCUUAGAAUCACUGCUAAGUAUUACUUCCAGGGCUGAUGAGUGAUAAGGGCCAGGAAAUUGGGGUUAAGUGACUUGCUCAGGGUCAUAGACCUAGAAUUUGAACCCAGAAUCUCUGAUCUCUGGGACUGGCUCUCAAUCCACUGGGCCACCUAACUGCCCCCACUAUUGCUUUCCAUUGUCAUUUCUCUGUUGAGGGACCUUCCCUGGCUUCCUGUAAUCUUUAUUAUGGCACAAGCCUAUUUUUUAACUUCAUCGCCCACUAUUGCCCCACACAGAUGUUCUGCCAGAUUGGUCUAUUCACUGUCACUCUGAACAGAAGAAUUUCCAUCUUUUUUGCCUUUUCCUCAAGCUAUUUACUAGGCCUGGAAAGCCUUAUUUCUCCUUCUCCUCUUUACAUUUCUAAAUCUUCCCCAUUGCCCUACACUACACUUACUUAGGUGUAACAGUGACUGCCCUGGUCCCUAAUGCCUGAAGGCCAGGUGUAUUACAUUGGGGUCCUCCUCCAGGAGCUCUGAAACCUUAAAGGUGGUUUGGGGUGUCCUUUUCUAACUAUGGAUCUGCGUGAGGCCAAAUUUUCCUCAUAUGCCUCAAUGAAAACAACAUAUUACAACCAAUUGAAUAUACAGUUAUGAGAAUACGGCUAUUUUCUAUCAAGUCAGACAUAAAGGAGAUUUCCAAAAAUAUGUAAAAUGAGGCCACUCUUUUCACUAACAGUUUUGGGGUUAUAUUUAAUUUUCUGAAAAACAUGUCAUUUAUGUUGACAUGCAGUGAACUUACUAUUAUUUAAUAUUGUUAUUAACACAACUUAAAAAGUGAAUAUUAAAAUUUUUUGUUUUAAUCAUUUAUAUGGUAAAAUAUCAAUAGACAAAACCCAUAUAAACAAAAGCUUUUGGGGGGGGGUAUUCAAUAAUUUUUAAGAGUAUAAAGGAGUCCUGGGAUCAAAAAAUUUUGAGAACUACUGAACUAUACUAAUCUACUUAUUGUAUUGAAGACAGGCAGUGAUUUGUCCAGGGUCACACAGCUAAGAAGUGUAUGAGAUCACACUUGAACCCAGGUCCUCACAAAUCUGGGUCUGGCUAUCUACCAUGCUACCUAGCUGCCUCCACAUUUUUGUUCACCUUGUCUUCCUCCUUCCAGUCUGCAUGAUUUUUUCCUCUUCUCUCUGUCCAUUCAAAUGUUUACUAACUCAAGUCCUACCUCUGUCAGGGGGCAAUUUCUGUCAUUUAAGUUUUGUGCUGUUUACUAUCUAUGUUAUUCUUUGGACAUUUAUGCAUAUCUUGCUGUAAACUCUUUGGGUUCUGGAACAAUGUGUCUGGAUUUCUCUGUGAAUUUCCCAAGGCUGAGUUGUUAAUAGCCUCCAUAAAUGUUUGUUUCUACAUGUGCUACAAGUGAAGUAGCUAUGAUAGAGAGAACUGAGGACUCUUAAUAGUACAGUUUUUGAAGGUAGGAUCUUAGGUUUCUAGAAUUGGGACUAGAAGGAACCUGAGGUCAACUAGUUCAACUUCCUCAUUUUAUACAUAAGGAAAUGAAACCUCAGAGAAAUGGAACCCAGGUCUCCUGAUUUCAAAUCCAGUGCUCUCUCUCUCUCUUAUAUAACAUUUGUUGAAUGAAUGAGUGAAAUACUGAGCGAUGUUGAAGAAGAAAUGAUAGAGCCUGAAGGAAGUGUAGAGAGGGAGUGAGAAAAAGGAGUGGAAAGAGAGGGAAAGAGGGAAAGAGAGAGAGAGAGGAGGCAGAGGGAGAGAACUUUAAGACUAUAUCAAGAUUCUUUGCCUUGAGAGAUGAGUGACAUGGACCCCUUCAAUUGGGAGAAAGUUGGAUGCCAAAGAAUCAGAAAAAGGAGCUACAUUGUUCAUUAUCUACAAUAUUUAUUUUUAGAUCUUUUUCUUUCUGAUUUUUUUCUCUUUUGAAAACUGAGGCUUCCUAAUUUGACUUCUCUGUAUUUGAUCAGAAUGAUUUUAAUUCUUUUAAAGAAACUAUACCCAAAGUCUGUGCACUUUGUUGUAUUUUUCAUUAAAAAAAAAACAAACCCUCUUUUUCCAUCCUAGCAAAUGCUCAAUCUUUUCCACUUCAAUAGCCUGAAAUUCUCCCCUGGGAGUCAUAAUCUCUUUAAAUAUUUUUAGGUUGCCAGAUUUCUUAUGUUUGCUCUCCAGGAAGCCAAUUUUGUUUCUAUGCUCAUGAGAGUAGUCCAGCUCCAUCUUUUGCCUGCUUGCUGCAUCACAAUAAAAUGCCGCCUAAUUACUGCCUUUGUUGAAUCCCAGACAUGUUAGUGUUUGUCUGCAGGCUAAGACUGUGGACCAUAAACUCUUUUCCAACUGGAGAUAAGUCUCUCCAUUAUUUAAAUCUCUAGGUCUUAUAACAGGAGGUUACUAUCCAGCCACCAACAUCAACCCAAUUAUUUCCAGUCUUGUAACCAAAGUGAUCAAGUAAAAUGACAUAAGCAACUAAUUAUUGAGAUAUUUAAAAAUAAUAUCUUGCUGGAAGAGAGUUUAAGAGAAUUCUAAAGCCAGAGUGUUCAGCUUCAGAGGCAGUGUCAGUCCCCUGGCUUUUGAUCCCUUCAUUAUUUUCAUUCUUGGUGUGAGAGUAAGAAGUCUGAAGGAAGAAUUUUGAGUGUGAGGACCUGAGAAGUUUUACUACUUCUUGUAAUGGGAAAAAGCCGGAAGUCAGACCAAGAUUCAUACUGGAUUUUAAAUAAACACUUCUACAAAUAAUCCCUUCUUAGGGGAAUGGAGCCAAAUAAAUUCCUAUUUUCUUAGAAAAUGUCUUCAAAUCUGACUUUCUCUAAAAAGUAAAAAUACAGUUUGGAAAGGAUGCUAACCUUUUGGAACUGUGAUAGAAAAAUGAACCAGGCAGUUAAAAAAAUGAAAUGCAAUGGGAUUUUAUGUAAGAAUCAAACACUAAAUAAUGAAUGAUUAUCUCCUUAAUUUUCAGUGGAAAGAAUUUGUAGGAAAAGCCAGAUGUUAGCUAUGUGCUCAGCCUCUGAGGUGGUGUCUAGCAACGAUAUUAGUGAUUGCAAGCAUUGUGCUUUAGGAAAACCUUGCAGAUGAGAGUGAAGAGUGAGAAGCUGUCCAAUUUCUUCGUACUAGUCCCUGUCUUAAAGACUCUUCCCCAGUUCACCAGCCAACUUGUUUUUCUGCUUUCUCUAUCUUUGUCCAGUCCUGGCAGCUCAGACAAGAUACUAACUGUGAAUGUCCUGAUCUCCCUGCUUGCUCCUGCUGCCCCGUGUCCCAGGGUGAUGAAAUAUGUGAAAAAUGAUGAAGAGCUGAGUUUGAAUCCUGACUUUGAACCUUAUUAGUUGUGUGACAAUAAGAACUUAACCUGAAUUAUUUUAUUUGUAAAAUGAAGAUAAUAAUAGCAGUUAUCUUACAGGGUUGUACUCAUGAGAAUCAAAUAAGAUAAACUUCAAGGCACUAUAUAUUAUUAUACUUUAGGCGGGCUGAGCUACUGUCCCUGGUUCAGGUUCACAGAAUCUGUCACAAAGCUUGCCUUUUUUCAACUGAGAUAAUUUUUAUUGGUGGCAUACUGGUACAUGUAGCCUCCCAGUAAGCAAUGUUGAGAGAGAAAGGAUCUUUUACCCCCUCUUAUCUGGCAGGUGCAAUUAUAUUGCUUAGAGAUGACCAUAACAUUGUUAAAAAAUGAGUUUAGUUGUAUGACCUUUAUUUACUCCUUUAAUAUCUAUGAAUCUCAGUUUUCUCUUCUAUGAAAUGGAGAUAAUAAUGUUGAUAAUCACUCAGGGGUGUUGUGGGGAUCAAAUGAAAUAAGGUAUAUAGAGGGCUUUGUAAACCUUGUAGCACCAUAUAAACAAAGAGAGAGAGAAAGAGAAGAAAGGAAGGAAGGCAGGAAAGAAUGAAGAAAAAGUAAAGAAGAAAAGAAGAAAAAAAGGAAAGGAAGGAGGAAAGGAAAAGGAAGAAAGAAGAAAAAACAAUGGAUUGAACAAGUUUGUAAAACACAUUGAAUUAUUAGAAUGCAAAUGGGUAAGUGAAAUAUUACUGCAUUUUGUCCUACAGACUUAUGGGAUAGAAAUUACUUUAAUUGGACCCUGAUUCAAGGAUCUGUUAUAAAUUUAUUUUCUUAUUUAGAAUUUUUACACUUAAGACUUUGAAUAGUCUAUAUUUCAUCCAGAAGUUAUCUUUUCUCUUUUAUUUAUUUUUUUAUGUUUUUGAUUUGCCAAUUGAUUCAUAUACCUCAUAACUCAGCCAUGCAUCCCUAAGUGAACCCUGUGUUUUUCAAUCACCCUCUUCAGGGGAGAAUGUAUUAUUAUUCUAAAAUGCAAAGUUUAAAUUCUUUUUGAGAGUAAUUUUAUUAACAUGCUACCUCUCCAAAUCCAGAAAGUGAACUGUUUGGAGAAGGUAUCAUGAAGAUGCCUCCACAGACAACAUGAUGCACCAGAAGAUCCAGAGUGAACUUUGGGAUGCGGUGAUUUGAACUGUGUGGGGUUGAAUGCAUUUGUUUUGUAUGUAUAUGCUUAUGCUGAAGGGGGCUGCCCCCAACUGGUCUUUUGUCAAUGCGCCUAACAAUCAUGAAUUUUGUUCUCUUUUCCUCUUAUCCUCAAAUUAUUGUAAUUUCAAAGUUGGUUAUGUUUACAAGAUCCAUUGGAAAGGCUAGUCUUCCAUGGAUCUCAGGGGGAAUGUAUAAUUGAAAAUCUGUUACCCUAAAAAAAAACAAAACUACAUUUCCCAGGAGUCCACUGACUUCCUGUCCUUACAUACUUCCUGUAGACAGGGGAUAUUAGGCAAGGACGUGAAGGAUCCCACCUUUUUACUUCCCGUCCCAAGUUUGGUGGUGGUAAGGUGGGUGUCUGAACUGGCUGAUCAGCCACGGGCAUGUGGUCUUUAUUUUGUAUCUUCUUUAUUCCUUGAUUUCUAAUGAUCGUUAAUCUCUUAAAAUAUGUUUUUAUUAUUGAGAUUUAAUUUUAACUUUUACAAAAGGCAUAAAAGUCUAGAGUGUCUACUAUUGCUAUUAUUUGUCUAUGGAAGGCGCUUCAAUGGCUGAAACUUUAUCUGAUCUAACCAAUUCAAAAGUAGGUGAUCUUUAUUAAAUUGUUGUAGAAUUUGAAAUAUUUCAUUGAAAUAUUCCAUUCAUUUCUUCUCUCUCUCUCUCUCUCUCUCUCUCUCUUUGUGAAAUAAUAGAUGAUGUUUAUAUGGUGUUUCAAGGUUUACAAAGUCCUCUAUAUACCUUAUUUCAUUCGAUCCUCACAACACCCCUGAGUGGUUAUCAACAUUAUUAUCUCCAUUUCAUAGAAGAGGAAACUGAGACUCAUAGAUAUUAAAGUAGUAUUUAAAGGUUACACAACUAAAUUUGUUUU